AGCUGCACACGUACAUUCUGCCCAAAAUAAACCUGAAUGAGCCUGUGGAAGUGAAGAUGGACUUCAUGCUGGUGGCAAUUCUGUCUGUGGUGGAAAAGCUCCAGACAGUCAGUUUUUACUUCGUCCUGAACCUGGAAUGGCAAAACCCUUUUGCAACCUGGGACCCACAGGAUUUCUGUAACAUUUCUGAAAUUGUUCUGCCCAUGGAUACGUAUUGGU
Molecule: long non-coding RNA, 219 nt
Organism: Parus major (Great Tit)
Lineage: Eukaryota; Metazoa; Chordata; Aves; Passeriformes; Paridae
Exons: 3
Source: RefSeq, a predicted model, not a curated record